This 302-nucleotide ribosomal RNA is filed under the name uncultured bacterium. RNAcentral's name for it is "partial 16S ribosomal RNA". It matches the Rfam family "Bacterial small subunit ribosomal RNA", at positions 508 to 809 of the family's 1533-position model. The record is from RNAcentral.
GCAGUAGCCACGGUAAUACGGAGGGGGCUAGCGUUGUUCGGAAUUACUGGGCGUAAAGCGCACGUAGGCGGCUUGGUAAGUUAGAGGUGAAAGCCCGGAGCUCAACUCCGGAAUUGCCUUUAAGACUGCCGAGCUAGUAGGUGAGAGAGGUAAGUGGAAUUCCGAGUGUAGAGGUGAAAUUCGUAGAUAUUCGGAGGAACACCAGUGGCGAAGGCGGCUUACUGGCUCAUUCUAGACGCUGAGGUGCGAAAGCGUGGGGAGCAAACAGGAUUAGAUACCCGUGUAGUCCUGUCUCUUAUACA